CUCCCAUUCAUUAUUUUACCGACUCCUUCUUCCCCUCCGCCGCACCCCAGAUCAGACACAGCCACGGUGGGGACCGAGGCCACCUCCUCGCCACUGCCACCCCACCCCUCCAGCGCUCACCCCUGGGCGUGACAGCUUUGCGGGAGUCCAGUGCGUUUUCAUUUUGUCCCGUUUCUCUUUCCCACUUGAAAAGCUCUAGGAAACGUCGCGGGGCCUGCAAAUCUCUCACAACGUGCCUCUUUGGAGGAGUUCAGUUUCUGAACUUUCCAGAAGUUGCAAAGUUUCUCUCAGCACAGCCCUAGAUUGAAGGCUGCGAAGAACGAAGGAUAGACCUGCUAUAAAGGGCUUCUGCGUUGAUCGGGAUUCUCUGCCUCUCACUCCACCAAGGCCAGCACGCACAGCUGCUGAGGAGUAAAAGCUUAAUCCGCGAUGGCCUGCUGUGGUACCUAGGCCUGGGACGGCCCCACAGCAGCCCUGAUCCCAACAGGCCUACGAAGGAAUGGGAGGCAAGGAGGGAGCACGCUGCAGAUACUGGUCAACCGGUAAUCCUGGGCUUUACAGAAGAGAGAGGUCGCUCUACACCGCGGUGGCAGAGCCGGUGGGAUUUCUUGCAGGGAAGGAAAACUUUUCGAGCCUCCAGUAAGUUACACAUCGAAGAGACCAUGACCAUUUCCUGCCAGUCACUGCUGAGAACCUUGACCGAGCCCAAGUGCUUUCCACAGGAUGCUGAAGGCUACUGGUCAUUUACUAGCCAAAAUUGUUUCCUUUAUAAAACAGUCCUUCAAAUACCUUCAGAAAAUAAACAUUAAAGGAUUCUGCUUUCCCUCUUUUCCUACCAAUUUAUUAUUUAUUUUACAAUAAUCUACUGAAAAUGUGGAAAAAUAAAAUUGUUAUAUAUGCACAGUGCUAACUCGUUUGUGCUCAGGGCAACUAUGUUUGUGUACAGUCGUGUAGACAUGUGUGCAAACACUAACACAUUUCAUGUUGAGAUAAAUUGGAAAAUGUUCAGUGUAAAAUCUACCAAUAAAAGUAUGAGGUAUGAUCUAAAGAUACAGUGAAUAUUUAAAUGUAAAAAGAUUACAUUAAACAAUACAUGUUUUAACCCCCUCUAAAUCUACCCCCUUGCUUCAAAGACACAUAUGCCAUCGUUCUUGCUGUGUUCUAACGCAAUUAUGGAGUCCCC
RNAcentral lists this long non-coding RNA (1183 nucleotides) under Fukomys damarensis (Damara mole-rat). Its description in RNAcentral is "lncRNA (ENSFDAG00000024472.1)". The record is from RNAcentral. Lineage: Eukaryota; Metazoa; Chordata; Mammalia; Rodentia; Bathyergidae.